This 344-nucleotide ribosomal RNA is filed under the name uncultured bacterium. Its description in RNAcentral is "bacterial SSU rRNA". It matches the Rfam family "Bacterial small subunit ribosomal RNA", at positions 8 to 334 of the family's 1533-position model. The record is from RNAcentral.
AGGGUUCGAUCAUGGCUCAGGAUGAACGCUGGCGGCGUGCUUAACACAUGCAAGUCGAGCGAAGCGCUUUUGUUGAUUUCUUCGGAUUGAAACAAUUGUGACUGAGCGGCGGACGGGUGAGUAACGCGUGGGGAACCUGGCCCAUACAGGGGGAUAACAGUUAGAAAUGACUGCUAAUACCGCAUAAGCGCACGGAACCGCAUGGUUUUGUGUGAAAAACUCCGGUGGUAUGGGAUGGCCCCGCGUCUGAUUAGGUAGUUGGUGAGGUAACGGCCCACCAAGCCGACGAUCAGUAGCCGACCUGAGAGGGUGACCGGCCACAUUGGGACUGAGACACGGCCCAA